This 292-nucleotide ribosomal RNA is filed under the name uncultured bacterium. RNAcentral's name for it is "partial 16S ribosomal RNA". It matches the Rfam family "Bacterial small subunit ribosomal RNA", at positions 505 to 796 of the family's 1533-position model. The record is from RNAcentral.
GUUCCAGCAGCCGCGGUAAUACAGAGGGUGCAAGCGUUAAUCGGAAUUACUGGGCGUAAAGCGUGCGUAGACGGUUAUUUAAGUCGGAUGUGAAAUCCCCGGGCUCAACCUGGGAAUUGCAUUCGAGACUGAAUGGCUAGGGUGCGGAAGAGGGAAGCGGAAUUUCCGGUGUAGCAGUGAAAUGCGUAGAUAUCGGAAGGAACAUCAGUGGCGAAGGCGGCUUCCUGGUCCAGCACCGACGUUCAGGCACGAAAGCGUGGGGAGCAAACAGGAUUAGAAACCCGAGUAGUCC